Molecule: ribosomal RNA, 541 nt
Filed under: uncultured bacterium
Lineage: Bacteria
Description: bacterial SSU rRNA
Rfam family: Bacterial small subunit ribosomal RNA
Source: RNAcentral
UAAGGAAUAUUGGACAAUGGACGCAAGUCUGAUCCAGCCAUGCCGCGUGAAGGAUGAAUGCCCUCUGGGUUGUAAACUUCUUUUACAGGGGAAGAAAGUUAUCUUUUUUAGGAUAUUUGACGGUACCCUAUGAAUAAGCACCGGCUAACUCCGUGCCAGCAGCCGCGGUAAUACGGAGGGUGCAAGCGUUAUCCGGAUUCACUGGGUUUAAAGGGUGCGUAGGCGGGUAUGUAAGUCAGUGGUGAAAUACCGGAGCUUAACUUCGGAACUGCCAUUGAUACUAUAUAUCUUGAAUAUUAUGGAGGUAAGCGGAAUAUGUCAUGUAGCGGUGAAAUGCUUAGAGAUGACAUAGAACACCGAUUGCGAAGGCAGCUUGCUACGCAAAUAUUGACGCUGAGGCACGAAAGCGUGGGGAUCAAACAGGAUUAGAUACCCUGGUAGUCCACGCCCUAAACGAUGAUUACUCGACAUUAGCGAUACACAGUUAGCGUCUGAGCGAAAGCAUUAAGUAAUCCACCUGGGAAGUACGACCGCAAGGUUG